Long non-coding RNA from Solanum stenotomum, 216 nucleotides. RefSeq lists it as uncharacterized. The record is from RefSeq and is a predicted model, not a curated record. The transcript has 2 exons. Lineage: Eukaryota; Viridiplantae; Streptophyta; Magnoliopsida; Solanales; Solanaceae.
CUUUUGAAUAAGCACCAAUAGUCAUGAAACUGAAGAGUCCUAAUUUUAACUUGUUCGAACUAACAUGAAAUAUAGCAUAGAAGAAAUUAAAGAGUCAGCUAAUAUAACAAAGGUUGAAAAGUUUAGCCACGACUAACUAUGAUUCUCGUUUCACUGCUCAACAAAGCCCUCACACAUUUAUUUAUUUACACUACACUCUGGUGAAAUCAUCAAGAG